UGCAGAAUCCCGUGAACCAUUGAGUUUUUGAACGCAAGUUGCGCCCGAAGCCAUCCGGUUGAGGGCACGUCUGCCUGGGCGUCACGC
RNAcentral lists this ribosomal RNA (87 nucleotides) under Erigeron sp. VanNeste 339. RNAcentral's name for it is "partial 5.8S ribosomal RNA". It matches the Rfam family "5.8S ribosomal RNA", at positions 73 to 154 of the family's 154-position model. Rfam says of the family: 5.8S ribosomal RNA (5.8S rRNA) is a component of the large subunit of the eukaryotic ribosome. It is transcribed by RNA polymerase I as part of the 45S precursor that also contains 18S and 28S rRNA. Functionally, it is thought that 5.8S rRNA may be involved in ribosome translocation. The record is from RNAcentral. Lineage: Eukaryota; Viridiplantae; Streptophyta; Magnoliopsida; Asterales; Asteraceae.